GCCGCUCCUCUCCCGCACAGGGUUAGGGUUCCUUGUGCCGACGCCGCCGCGCUCCUCGAGCACCUCCUGCUGCCUUUUCCCUCUCUUCCCUCCGAGCUUGCCGUCGGCGACGAGGCGCCGCCACGGCCGUUCUCUACCGCCUCCAGGAACCCGCCACGCGCGCCGAGGCGAGGGACUCCUGGCUCCUUCCAUCACCGCUUUGCCGAUGACCCCGCCGCCGGGCAGGAGGAGUGCUUCCGCUCCUCCAGGAACCAGCCACGCGCAUCAAGGUGAGGAGCCUCCUGGGCUCCGUCCGUCGCCUACCUGCAAGAGGGUGCCGUGUGGGCAAGGGUUUCGCCGGUCUGUGGUCGGCUGCGAUGAAUUGGGUGUCCUGCUGUCUUUUCUUCAGUGCUUCUUUGGCACCGGCACAACUCUGGUCGAGUACCUACUCUUCAGGUUUGUCUUCUUCAGCCUAUAGCUCCUAAACACCAGAUGGCUGAUUUUUGGAUGAUGCAGGCAUGAAUGGGGAUUCCUAAAUUUGUGCUUCAGUGUCGAAUUAUUGUUGCUUAUACAUAGGUUCAGAAUAUGCAUCCAUUGCUCGGAAAAAAAUACAUUAUACAUCUACGAUAUAUACAAUUUCGAAGGAUGAUUUUGUGAUCAAUUUCAUACCACAAGAAAUGAUCAAAAUGAGCAAUCAUCGACAUGGCUGAUGCUAGCAAUGAUAGCCAUGUCAUUGGUUCUUACUAAAUUACUCGCGAUGAAGUAAUGUGUCUUUAUGUUGGUCCUUCAGUAUUUGCUUUUGCGUUUAUUUUGCAAGCAAAAAACAGGUGAGCGAAUCGGGAUUCAGUCGUGGGAGAUUUUUUGCGAUGAUGUUGCUCCAUGUUCUUUUUGUGAUUCAGGUGUUCGUUUUGCACAUGUUCAUAGUGGGCAAAUCGUUUUUUUUGUGACGAUUUCUGUGGUUUUCAUCAUCAGUGUUAGAACACAUUUGUUUCAUCAGGGGAUAGUUCUGAUCUAUGCAUGCAGCUAGAUUUUCCAUUUUAAUUUUAGAGACGACAAGCAACUUUGUUGUGGUCUUAUUAGUUUUUCAAAAUGGAAAUUCAGUGAUGAUCAUGUUAUAUAUUACUAUUAGCAUAGGUUCAGAGAUAACUUUAGUCAGUAAACAAAUUAUUUUCUUGCAGGUAAGUUCUGAUGUAUGUUCAAUAGCACAAUUUUUAUUUUGAUCUACUAUGAUUAGUCAAUGUUAGCUCUAGCAUCAACACUAACUGUCACUCUCAUGCCACCCCAUGGACGCCUCUGACCAAGGUGCAGGUCGGUGCUCGCCGUGGGUACAUCCACCAGAUUUUCCUUAUGUAGUUUGUUGAAAAUGAAGUGCUUCCACCAGCAUGAAUAUUCCACGAAAAUCAGACUUAAUGUUUGGUAAAACAUGAAGCUCCAGUCCCUAUGGAUAUCGUCUAGAUCAAGGAUAUAAAUUAUCGUCUGCAUCCAACUGGUGUGUUUUGACGGAUGCUUGUGGCUGAACCCGCAAAUCCUCAUUGAGAUUUAGAUGUACAGGAUAAGAGUGUCAAGAAAGUCAAUAUAUGGUUUAGUGCGGCACAUAUGUUGUCUACUAGGUAGUUACGCAGACAUCUAUUCCAUCUAGGUGCUUACUUAUGCACACUUGUACUUUCUGUUGUAGUAGUUAAUUGAAGUGUUUUUUUUAAUUUGGUUUCUCAAGAUGCUGUCAUAGUAGUGUUAAUUAGUCUCAAUACUUUAAUGUAAAAUGCUCUAACUGAUGGUUGCCAUAUAGCCAUGGAUUGUAUACAGUUUGUUUGGUCACCCUGAAAUAAUAAAUUGUUCCUUUGUUUGUUUUUGUGUUCCAUAGCAAGGAUUGAAUAAUUAGAACCCAAAAGCAAGUUUCAGGAUUUGUAAUGAAAUCCUAUUGUCGCCUUAUGUCGAGGCAACCAUGACACUCUCUGUACCAAAUAGACCACAACAAAAAAUUUAACCCACCCAGUCGUUAUCCCUUAUGAGCUGAUUUAUAUCACUCAGGAUGUAAGGCCCACUUUGUUGGGGUUAGAAGGUACUUGUGGACACCACCUUUAAGAAUGUAGCUGAAUUCCGGAUUAUCUUCCUUAUGAUCAACCAUAUGGCUUCUACUAGAUGGAUGUUCAUCAAUUAUGUCGGAUGCCUGUUGGUGUUGUCAUCACUUGUCACAAGUUUGAUCUAUAUUGCACGGGAUAGUCCCUGUCAUGGGAAUGCCCUGUUCUCCGAAGUUUACCAAAACAAUAACUAUUUAGUUGAACAUUGACAGUGUUUCUUGUUUGUUCUGUUAAGGCGGUUCAAAAAGUUACAGGGUUUUUAAGAUUUAUCUGUGCUUUCUUGAAAGGUAUGCUCGGAUCACUUCUACAUAUCUGGAUAGGAAAGUUUGAUUCUUCCUUACUAGAGCCAUACGACCAAAAGAUGAUUGGAAGGCUCUUUCCAAGCAUAAGGUGGUUCAUGUAUAGUUUAAUUUGGGGUGACUCAGUUGGGACACCAGGAACAGGAUUGCCGCGGGGUUGGACAAGGGGCUGCGCUACUUGCACUUUUUGUGCAGCCUAGGAUACCAUAUUGCAACCUCAAGCGAGACUGCUGUAAACACCAUGCGGUGGUUGUAUGCUGCCAUGGAGGGAAUAAAAGGCGCAUGUCGAUUGCAAGGAUGAUUAUAAUAGUAUAACCAAGGAGUGGUUGGGCUAGCCCAAUUUUUUUCUCAAAAAUAAACGCAUAACUGCAAUGGUUGGUUGUUGCUUGAGGAGGUGCAUAUGUCGUCAAGGUUGUUAUUGCUGGAGCUAGGAACGCUUCCAUAUUCUAAAGUUGGUUGUUAAUGGUUGAGCCAGACUGUGGAAAAAGUAAACUUAUAGUGAGUAUUUAGUUUGCUAUAUCAGUUAUAAGAAUCACAUGCCUUUUAUGUUCAUGUUAUCUUUUGGUGUUACAUAGUUCACAAAGGUUGCAUUUUGGUAUAUACUUAGCUGCUCAUACAUUCAAGUUCCUAUAUCUUUUUCUGGCACACAUCUACAUGGCUAUACAUCUUUAACUAUAGGAGUGAUGCAAAUAUGGAUACCAGACAAAUGGAAAUAAGUAAAUUAAGGCCUGGAAAAAGUAAUAAGUAAAGAAUGUUAAGAAAAAUGUUGUAUAAUUUAAUGGCAAUGGUCAGAUAGUUGUAAUGGGGGUUAUAAUGAGUUGCCCCUUUUGUAGUCACCCUUUUAGUGGUGUCAAUGUUUAAAGUAUUAGCUUUAAUUAAUUAUCCAUUUAACUGAAAGAAGCAGGAAUGUACAAGAAGGUGAAGGGAUUGCAGCAGCUGAUCCAAGAAGAUGGCCACUCCUUUGAGUUUCUGUCAUAGAUAAGUAUACUGUUGAUGCCGUACUUAUUCUGGAGAGUCAACUGGAUAUUACAGUUAUCUUCUGUGACUGUGUGAACCCACUGCCAUAGUCUCAUAAAAUCAUAUCAUCAAUCUUACUGUCUCAGCCAGCAACAGGACUGCCAUCGGUUUUUUUUUAGAAUAACUGGCAUCAAAAAAAUGUAUCAAGGAUUAACUGUGUUUAAUGAGCUCACAAUCCUGAUUGAUAGAGGAGGAAUUUGCACUGGAUUUGAGAUUUCUCUCUUCACUGGUUUACAAUUAGUGGUUUUUUGUAUGCAGAUUAGUCAUUCAUUUGCUGGUGUUGUCCAUCAAUGUUGUGACAAACUGCACUAAUCGCCCGGUUUUGGUUGUAUCUUGGACUGCUCCGUCAACGUUUAUUUUCAUCAUCCCAGAUGAAGGAGGAUCCACCUUCGCUGUUGUACCCGCUGCACCCUUGCUUCACUUGAAACUCUUGGUGGUACUGUCAUCUCUAAGAUCGGAUAAGAAACGCGUAAUAAACAUAUGAGUAGCCAAUGGACUUUGGUGAUCACCUUCGUGAAUUAACUUCGGCCGAGCAAUCCAUAUGGCCCAGAUUGUCACCACCAUCCUUGUAAAUUCUUCCUGUGAUAAUGUCCCCAUCAUAGAGAAUAACCAAUUCCUUGCAUUCA
RNA transcript from Triticum dicoccoides, 3999 nucleotides. RefSeq lists it as uncharacterized. The transcript has 6 exons. The record is from RefSeq and is a predicted model, not a curated record. Lineage: Eukaryota; Viridiplantae; Streptophyta; Magnoliopsida; Poales; Poaceae.